Molecule: ribosomal RNA, 152 nt
Filed under: uncultured bacterium
Lineage: Bacteria
Description: partial 16S ribosomal RNA
Rfam family: Bacterial small subunit ribosomal RNA
Source: RNAcentral
UUACUCUUACGGGAGGCAGCAGUGGGGAAUUUUGGCCAAUGGGCGCAAGCCUGAUCCAGCAAUGCCGCGUGCAGGAAGAAGGCCUUCGGGUUGUAAACUGCUUUUGUACGGGAAGAAAAGGCUCUGGCUAAUACCUGAGCUCAUGACGUACU